GGGGGGAUAGCUCAGUGGUAGAGUGCCUGCCUGGCAUGCACAAGGUCCUGGGUUCAGUCCCCAGUGCCUCCA
Molecule: transfer RNA, 72 nt
Filed under: Camelus bactrianus (Bactrian camel)
Lineage: Eukaryota; Metazoa; Chordata; Mammalia; Artiodactyla; Camelidae
Also listed under: 2 other names
Rfam family: tRNA
About the family: Transfer RNA (tRNA) molecules are approximately 80 nucleotides in length. Their secondary structure includes four short double-helical elements and three loops (D, anti-codon, and T loops). Further hydrogen bonds mediate the characteristic L-shaped molecular structure. tRNAs have two regions of fundamental functional importance: the anti-codon, which is responsible for specific mRNA codon recognition, and the 3' end, to which the tRNAs corresponding amino acid is attached (by aminoacyl-tRNA synthetases). tRNAs cope with the degeneracy of the genetic code in two manners: having more than one tRNA (with a specific anti-codon) for a particular amino acid; and 'wobble' base-pairing, i.e. permitting non-standard base-pairing at the 3rd anti-codon position.
Source: Rfam by way of RNAcentral